CCUCUGCAUGGCUCCCAAGUGCCCGACACACAUGGCGGGCACUCAGUGUGUCAUAAAGGAAGGAAUGAUGUUACUAUGUAGCUUCUGUGAAGGGAGGAGCUCCACGGUCCAGUGUUUUCAUCAGAUGGAAACUUCUUUCUCUUCUCAAGAGGAAUCCCAGGAAGAAUGUAAGUGCGAAAGUCAUUUCUUCUGAUGCUCCCAGCAUCACGUGGUUCCCAGCCAAGGUUACCAGCAGGGGCCUCAUGGAAAAACCAUUACACUCUUUUGGGAACUCUUUCUUAAUUUGUUAUUUGCUGAACUAAAAGGUUCUUCAUUCCUGGGAUUGACUACAUUUCACAUAAAUUGUGGAUGUACUUCUUUUAAAUAAAAAGAUGUUUCCUUUGGAGACCAA
This is a long non-coding RNA of Lynx canadensis (Canada lynx), 391 nucleotides long. RefSeq lists it as uncharacterized. NCBI's taxonomy places the organism in Eukaryota, Metazoa, Chordata, Mammalia, Carnivora, Felidae. The transcript has 2 exons. The record is from RefSeq and is a predicted model, not a curated record.